AGUGCGUAAAAUUGUGGCAAAGGGAACUUAUUUGCGACGAUAGUUAGCUGCAACAGAUACUUUUUAUCCUAUCAAUGUACAUCCAUCAUCGAUUUCUUCACUCCCCGAGGUAUUUAAUUUUUCUUGCGGCAGGAUGUAGUUGCCGCUAAAACCGCUGAAGUUUUUGAUGGUCAAUAGAUAAUUUAUUACGGCGAUAUAUAUAUAUAUAUAUAUUGCCAUUAUAUGUUGGGUAUCUAUGUAAUUUGCAACCAAAACGAUUGUGUAGAAGUAUUGAUCUCAAUUUUAGCAACUCUGAUUCUGUCUUCCCAAAUCGCGUUACUCUAUCUCAUCUCUUCUCUGCGUAAUUGGCGCUGCCGCUCCUGCUCCUAAACUCUCUUGCCACGUCGUAGCCUCAUCAGCACUGUUAGCCUUCUUGCUCUUUCUCUCUCCUUCUCUAUAAGUCUUACUCUAGCCUCCGUCCCUCUGUUUUGUUUGAACUCCCCCAUCGUCUGCCAGCCGUACCCAGCCCAUUGCAGUGCAUAACCUCCGCGAUUCAAGAACUCAGUGUAGAAAAUAUUGAGGCCAUCUUUGAUGACAUAAAUGCACUCGCCUGUGGGCCAGACCCAUGGGUUGCUUCAUAUGACGCUUGCAUAAUGAGUGGCACCAGAUUCCACACCGUGGCUCAUGGACAAUAUCGCCGAACCCAAAAUAGUGGGUUGGUUGUUAAAGGGGAGCACCAAUCAAAGCCUAUUGAUUUUUACGGUGUUUUGCUUGACAUCUUGCAAUUACGCUACAUGGGUUGGCAUCAUGUAUAUUUGUUUAGAUGUGACUGGUUCGAUGUUGGUGAUAGGAGGAGAGGAAUAUGUGUUGGCCACCACAUUACAAGUGUCAACACUUCUCGCAAAUGGUAUAAGGAUGAGCCAUUCACCCUUGCCUCUCAAGCAACCCAAGUGUUUUACCUUAAAGAUAACAGUUUGGGUGGUAGUUGGUCUGUUGUUCAAAAUGUGAUCAGUAGGAACAUGUAUGAUGUUCCAACUAUACCAUAGGUCAAUGAUAAUGACGAUGAAAAGCAGAAUAUGGAUGUACCUACUUUCCAAGAGAACGAAGCUGGCUACGUUCAAGUAGAACCCGUGGCUAGUACGUCUGGCGUCACGCUUCUUUUGCAUGGAUCUGACGUUGAACCAAUCCAUCUUGGUGUUGAUACAAGUUUGAAUGAGCCACUAUCCCUUUUUGAUGAUGAAACACAUAUUCAGCCCUACUCUGUUUUAUAGAUGCUUAUUUUUUAUUUAUUAAUUAACGAAACAUCUCAUGCAAUUUCUAGGUUAAUGAGGCUAACUAUGACCUUCAAAUAGCUACUGUGGCCACCUGGUAUCUCUCAAAAUUUACAGCUGAUUACGUGAUGGAUCAGCUCACAAUAUUGCAAGAAUCCAUCCAUUAAGAAGCCCCUAAGAAAUGAUGAAGCACCAGAUACAACAGGUGCCAAAAAUAUGAAGGCCUUUCAAAUAAAAUGGUGCAGACCAGCUGAGACACUAAGACUUGCUCAAUAGAUAAGCGUAAUUGAAGUUGGAACGUUGGAGUUAUUUCCCAUGAUUUGCCUUUGAUGGCCUUCCGUGUAUCAAAGUUAGAUUCUGUUAUGUAUGAAGCAAUUGUUUUGUAUUGACUUCCAGUUUUGUAUAUGUAUUUCCAAAAGUUGGUUUUGUGCUAUGUAUGCUCUGGUAUGUUAACGAGACAAUGGGAAAAAAUUA
Long non-coding RNA from Carya illinoinensis, 1724 nucleotides. RefSeq lists it as uncharacterized. The record is from RefSeq and is a predicted model, not a curated record. NCBI's taxonomy places the organism in Eukaryota, Viridiplantae, Streptophyta, Magnoliopsida, Fagales, Juglandaceae. The transcript has 3 exons.